CAGCAAUGCCCUGCUCCCAGCAGGAAAACCACUUGGGGUGCAGGUUUGUGAAAGAGGAGCAGGAUUAGGGCUGCAAGGGGGAAAUAGAGUCACCCUGCUCCUGGUCCUGCAGCGUGGAUGUGAGUCUGGGACUGACUGGACUUGGCUGAGCCUCCUGGAUGGGUGUUUGCAUAGACAAGACAUUUUGGGUAAACUUUUGCCCUCAAUAUUAUGACUGAUUUUCUCCUGGCCCUUCAUCCUGCAAAGACAAGAUUUUUCAUCCUGAUUCAGAAUGGGAGGAAUAAUCUCCAGGUGGGAAUUAUUCACAUGCCCUGGUUCAGGACCAGCUGCACCUCAGUCAAC
RNAcentral lists this long non-coding RNA (342 nucleotides) under Parus major (Great Tit). RNAcentral describes it as "lncRNA (ENSPMJG00000019629.1)". Lineage: Eukaryota; Metazoa; Chordata; Aves; Passeriformes; Paridae. The record is from RNAcentral.